This 246-nucleotide long non-coding RNA is filed under the name Felis catus (domestic cat). RNAcentral's name for it is "lncRNA (ENSFCAG00000050137.1)". Lineage: Eukaryota; Metazoa; Chordata; Mammalia; Carnivora; Felidae. The record is from RNAcentral.
GGGACAGAGAGGUGAAACUGGAUCUUUGAAGACCUCUGUUGUCACCUCUAUCAUUAUUCUGCUCCAAUGACAACACGGAGCAUACUGUCAACGUCCUCCAGUGGGAGAGCCAUGAAGUCCCCUGUAAGGGGUGGAGAGCACCAUUUGAAUCAGCUGGAAGAAAAGAAAAGACUCUGAUAUACCUGUUUGAGGAAGCUAACCUUUGAAUGAGAGAAACUUCUGCUGAUGUCAAAUGACCACAAGGAU